GGCUCGGUAGCGGAGGGUCUGCAUCUGCACUCCAUUCGUAAAUUCCCUGACAUAAUGCAGAUAAUGCCUGUUCGAUUCAGGUCCGAGCCA
Mycena leptocephala is the source of this 90-nucleotide non-coding RNA. Lineage: Eukaryota; Fungi; Basidiomycota; Agaricomycetes; Agaricales; Mycenaceae. The record is from the annotation of a GenBank genome assembly.